Molecule: unclassified non-coding RNA, 401 nt
Filed under: soil metagenome
Description: partial contains 5.8S ribosomal RNA, internal transcribed spacer 2, and large subunit ribosomal RNA
Rfam family: 5.8S ribosomal RNA (bases 1-121)
Source: RNAcentral
GAUGAAGAACGCAGCGAAAUGCGAUAAGUAAUGUGAAUUGCAGAAUUCAGUGAAUCAUCGAAUCUUUGAACGCACCUUGCACCCUUUGGCUAUUCCGAAGGGUAUGCCUGUUUGAGUAUCAUGAACACCUCAACUCUUAUGGUUUGCCAUGAUGAGCUUGGACUUUGGGGGUCUUGCUGGCCUGUGGUCAGCUCCUCUCAAAUGGAUUAGCUUGCCAGUGUUUGGUGGCAUCACAGGUGUGAUAACUAUCUACGCUUGUGGUUUUCCACCAGGUAACCUUCAGCAAUGGGGGUUCGCUGGGGCUCAUAAAUGUCUCUCCUCAGUGAGGACAGCUCUUUGAACGUUUGAUCUCAAAUCAGGUAGGACUACCCGCUGAACUUAAGCAUAUCAAUAAGCGGAGA